RNAcentral lists this unclassified non-coding RNA (22 nucleotides) under Dictyostelium discoideum. The record is from RNAcentral. Lineage: Eukaryota; Evosea; Eumycetozoa; Dictyosteliales; Dictyosteliaceae.
GUUCGCAUCUCACCUCAACCAU